This 220-nucleotide ribosomal RNA is filed under the name uncultured bacterium. Its description in RNAcentral is "partial 16S ribosomal RNA". It matches the Rfam family "Bacterial small subunit ribosomal RNA", at positions 57 to 305 of the family's 1533-position model. The record is from RNAcentral.
GCAAGUCGAACGAAGGCUUCGGCCUUAGUGGCGCACGGGUGCGUAACGCGUGGGAAUCUGCCCUUUGCUUCGGAAUAACAGUGGGAAACUACUGCUAAUACCGGAUGAUGUCUUCGGACCAAAGAUUUAUCGGCAAGGGAUGAGCCCGCGUAGGAUUAGGUAGUUGGUGGGGUAAAGGCCUACCAAGCCUACGAUCUAUAGCUGGUUUGAGAGGAUGAUC